RNAcentral lists this ribosomal RNA (253 nucleotides) under uncultured bacterium. Its description in RNAcentral is "partial 16S ribosomal RNA". It matches the Rfam family "Bacterial small subunit ribosomal RNA", at positions 524 to 776 of the family's 1533-position model. The record is from RNAcentral.
UACGUAGGGGGCAAGCGUUGUCCGGAAUCAUUGGGCGUAAAGCGCGUGCAGGCGGCCCGGUAAGUCCGCUGUGAAAGUCCAGGGCUCAACCCUGGGAUGCCGGUGGAUACUGUCGGGCUCGAGUCCGGAAGAGGCGAGUGGAAUUCCUGGUGUAGCGGUGAAAUGCGCAGAUAUCAGGAGGAACACCAAUGGCGAAGGCAGCUCGCUGGGACGUGACUGACGCUGAGACGCGAAAGCGUGGGGAGCAAACAGG